GAUGAAGAACGCAGCGAAAUGCGAUAAGUAAUGUGAAUUGCAGAAUUCAGUGAAUCAUCGAAUCUUUGAACGCACAUUGCGCCCUUUGGCAUUCCGAAGGGCACACCUGUCCGAGCGCCGUCGCACAACUGAGGCGCAGCCUUGCGUUGGCGGGCGACUUGUGAGUAGCGAGUCGCCGCCCUAACGAGACGGCGCCGCGCCGCGGCCGACGAAGCACGAAAGCGGAAGUCGACGCGGAGGCGGUUGCCUGUAGGAAGACACAGCUUGGCCUCGGAUCAGGUGGGGAUACCCGCUGAACUUAAGCAUAUCAAUAAGCGGAGGA
This 322-nucleotide unclassified non-coding RNA is filed under the name soil metagenome. RNAcentral describes it as "partial contains 5.8S ribosomal RNA, internal transcribed spacer 2, and large subunit ribosomal RNA". The stretch from base 1 to 120 matches the Rfam family "5.8S ribosomal RNA", at positions 35 to 154 of the family's 154-position model. The record is from RNAcentral.